CCGCUGGCUGCAACACCUUCACUUCCUGCCACCUGCGGCCCCUGCCCUGGCAUUGGAAGCUGUGAGCGGAUUAGCACUUUCUCCUCAAAGAUGCGGUGGCUCAGCGGUGGAGCCCGUAGCCUCUGACAGAUGAAGUCUAGCAGCCAGCCCCUCGCUGCAUCUAUCGGCACUUGCGGGUUGUCGCUGCCUCGAUGCUACGGUCCCGCGUGCCUGGAGAAAACAGACGAAGCUGUUUCUGUCCAGGGAGCUGGAUCCGGGUCAGUUCCCAGGAUGCUCUCUGCGGACGGGGCUCCUGCGCUCCCUCUUUCGGUCAGAGGAGAAUUGCACGUCUGCCGUCCUUAGAGACCUCUUACCACGUGACUUGAUCCAGCCAAUGGAAAGUGUCUGCAGUGAGAGUGGAGAGAAGCCGAGAGGGGCUGCUGCCGCCUGUCCGUCCGUCUGUCCGUCCGCCCAUCUGUCCGUCCGUCCCCAGUAGGUAGUUUCCUGCUGGGCAGUGUAAGCACAGGCUUUGAUGAUGUUUUGCUAUCUACCUUUCACUUGCUAUUUAUUAUUUUUAAUUUAUUUUAAUUUUUACUUUAUUUUUGGGGUUUCAAGACAUGUUUUUUCUGGGUAACUCUGGCUGUCCUAGAACAGGACAGCUCUGUAGACCAGGCUGGCCUUGAACUCACAGAGAUCUGCUUGUCUCUCUUGCCUCCUGAGUAUUGGGAUUGAAGGCAUAAGCCACCGUGCCUGACUUGCUGUUUAUUGUUUUUUACUU
Long non-coding RNA from Apodemus sylvaticus (European woodmouse), 757 nucleotides. RefSeq lists it as uncharacterized. The record is from RefSeq and is a predicted model, not a curated record. The transcript is spliced from 3 exons. Lineage: Eukaryota; Metazoa; Chordata; Mammalia; Rodentia; Muridae.